AAAAAGUUCGUAAACAAAGGUUUUCCGGUAGGUGAAACCCUGCGGAAAGGAUCAUUUACAGAAGUUUCAUGCCCUCCACGGGUAGAUCUCCCACCCUUGAAUAACUAUACCAUUAAGUAUGCUUUUGGCAGGCCGUGGAAACACCAUGUGGCCCCGGCUUAUGCGUUGCCUGCCAGAGGAAACAAACUCUGUUUUUAGUGAUGUCUGAGUACUAUAUAAUAGUUAAAACUUUCAACAACGGAUCUCUUGGUUCUGGCAUCGAUGAAGAACGCAGCGAAAUGCGAUAAGUAAUGUGAAUUGCAGAAUUCAGUGAAUCAUCGAAUCUUUGAACGCACAUUGCGCCCCGUGGUAUUCCGCGGGGCAUGCCUGUUCGAGCGUCAUUUCAACCAAUCCAGCCCUCGGCUGGGUCUUGGGGCCUGCGGUUUCGCAGCCUCUAAACACAGUGGCAGUGCGAUUGAGCUCUGAGCGUAGUAAAUUUUCUCGCUAUAGGGUCUCGGUCGUUAGCUCGCCAGUAACCCCCCAUUUUUAAUCAGGUUGACCUCGGAUCAGGUAGGGAUAACCCGCUGAACUUAAGCAUAUCAAUAAGCGGAGGAAAAGAAACCCAACCAUUU
Molecule: ribosomal RNA, 611 nt
Filed under: Cladochasiella divergens
Lineage: Eukaryota; Fungi; Ascomycota; Leotiomycetes; Helotiales; Discinellaceae
Description: eukaryotic LSU rRNA
Rfam family: 5.8S ribosomal RNA (bases 227-380)
Source: RNAcentral